RNAcentral lists this long non-coding RNA (292 nucleotides) under Erythranthe guttata (spotted monkey flower). Its description in RNAcentral is "long non-coding RNA (EGUT_LNC002295)". The record is from RNAcentral. Lineage: Eukaryota; Viridiplantae; Streptophyta; Magnoliopsida; Lamiales; Phrymaceae.
CCCCACCAACGGUGUUCGACGCCCUCGUCGAACCGACACCAUCGGCUUCAGCUUUCCACUUGUCUUGCCACCGUCUUCGAUUGUGCUUGAGCACCAGCACCGUAUCGAAACCCAAAAUAUCCCAAGUCUGAUCCCACGAACAUCCCACAUAUUCUUUCAGCCCUCGGAAAAACGAACGCCAACCACGUUCAAACGGCAGCACCCAACCACAAGUGAAAAUACUAGUUUUUGGCACAACUAGUAUUUUAUCUCGAUUGCCUCUCCAAUCGAGAAAGGAGACUUCCAGCCCACG